This is a long non-coding RNA of Triticum aestivum (bread wheat), 972 nucleotides long. RefSeq lists it as uncharacterized. The record is from RefSeq and is a predicted model, not a curated record. The transcript is spliced from 2 exons. Lineage: Eukaryota; Viridiplantae; Streptophyta; Magnoliopsida; Poales; Poaceae.
ACGAGCUAGACGGCGUUACAUGUUUUUUUUUGCCAAAAACUCCUGCCUAAAAAAAUCUACAAAACAGCACCCCUCGCUCCCUGCACGCGUGCAGGCCAGCCUCAACUCUGGCCCCGCCGGCGGCAGGCGCCCACACACUCACGUCGCCAGGCCUCCCUCCCUGGGCCGCUGCCGUCGUGUCCAGAGCCGGAUCCAGCCACAUCGGGCCUCCAACGCUCCGGCCCGGCAAUGGAUCCGGCGAGAACGCGUCGGCCAGCUCUCGUGGCAGAUGUUCCUUCGACAUCAGCAAACGAGCUAUUCCAGGCGGCGGGGCGACAUGGCAACUCGCGCCGAUGUGUCGCCGCCAUGGACAUCCCUGAGAUCACGCCCCUGUGCUGCCCCUCCGCCGUUCUCGACUGGAUCCAGGAGUCGGCGCCGCCAGCCCAGCCCCCUUCGCGCCUAGAGCAGCUGCUGAGGAGGGCACUGUCAGUCCACCAGUGAGCGAGAGGCGACGGAGGAGUGAUGCGUGCAGGAGCUCGGCGGCUAUGGCGACCUGCAGCACCGCCUUGCCAUGCGGCCGGCCUCGCAGAGGGCGCCACCUCCAGGCCGAGCGCCGAGGUCGGGUAGCGCACCUCGCUGUGAGGGGUUGUUCCUCGGGCCCAGCCUCUGCCGCCUUUGCUCAGCGUGUCCACGACAGUCGCCUUGAGGAUGCCCUUGGGCCGCGGCGACCGGCGGCGAGACCCAUUGCCGGCGUGCUGCUGCUCUUCUCGGCUGGGCUGCUUGGGCAGCCCAAAUCUAUGGAUGGAGUGGAUUGCUUUUUGCUCUUUGAUUGAAGGGUGUCCCUAUAAAACUACAGGGCCCCUUUUGUAAAUCUAGAAAAUCGAGAUGCUUAACGCCGUCCCCGUGAACAAUUACACCACGUCAUCAUUUAUGGGACCUAUCUGUCAUAAUCGUCAUCAAAACGACCAAAGCCGUCAACUAGUGUUUGUUGCA